UGGGUGUGCUCAGAGCAGGGGUCUGAAGAAAUGGCUCGUCUGUUUAUAACACACCCAACAGGAACUUGGGUUCACUGUGACAAGGGGCACAAAACUUGUAGCCUUCCUAUGAACAAGUACCCAAUAUGU
Balaenoptera musculus (blue whale) is the source of this 129-nucleotide small nucleolar RNA. NCBI's taxonomy places the organism in Eukaryota, Metazoa, Chordata, Mammalia, Artiodactyla, Balaenopteridae. The record is from Ensembl.